GAGACGACAAGGGAGGUUGCACUCCUUGACCUGCUGUUUGUGAACAGAGAAGACCUUGUGGGGGAUGCGACGGUUGGAGGAUGCCUGGGACAAAUCGAUCAUGAGAUGGUGGAGGAGCCAGUGCUAAUCUGGGCCACGGCAGAGGCAGAAGAAAGAAGAGCAUGGACAGAAAGCCCCGGGGCAGGACUGAUUGGGAUGAAAGAAAUUUCUGUUCAAUCGGAAACUGGAGGAGAAGUUAACCAUUAAAAACAAACUAUCCAGGUGCAACAGAAGACAUCCAGCAUGCUCCAUUCAGAUGGAAGAUCUAGGUGAUAAUGUGAUUUUCUACUCUGGCAUGUAGCUAGUUGAUUUGAUUGUCUGCAAAAUAGACCACAUACUCACUCAUAUUGAACUUUCUGUGACCAACACAAAUACAGAGAGGCGGGAGAACUUGGAAGAGAGGACUCAUGAGAAAACCAGCGUCUUGAAAAAAAUCUAUCCUCAUCUCCAUCAGUGAUGGAUUGUCUUAUGACACGAGGUGAGUUUACAACCUUUCAGUCUCUUAAGAAGGCUCUUACUUAAUGCAGUUCUGGCCCCUCUCACUGUUCAAGACAGGUUCAAGUCCUUCUAAAAGUCCUGCCAGGCUUUUGCCUUCAUUGAACAUGAUAACUGAAGUUGUACUGCAGUAGUUAAAUGAAUACCACAGAUUAUUUAUCUGUUUAUGGAUUAAUGCUGUGGUAUCAUGUGUGAUACCUCCUAGGAAACUGCAUAUCUCUGGGAACUUGGCCAUGAGUUUUACUUCCCUAGCCAUUUCCCUCCUUUUCUUGGUUUUCCCUUCUUGCACAUUUCUUUUCAGGUUUAUCCUCUGAGCCACAUGCACUGGUGCUGGGCGGGAAGCUGG
Cuculus canorus (common cuckoo) is the source of this 880-nucleotide long non-coding RNA. RefSeq lists it as uncharacterized. The record is from RefSeq and is a predicted model, not a curated record. The transcript has 5 exons. NCBI's taxonomy places the organism in Eukaryota, Metazoa, Chordata, Aves, Cuculiformes, Cuculidae.